AUAAGAUAAACGAGAGAUGGAUCAUAUGUCACAGAAAAAUGAGAUUUUAAGAAAUAAACCAAUAAUUAUGAAAUGAAAGAAGUAUCAUCGCUUACGACACAAAGCAGUAUUGAUCUGUCAUAAGUCUAAAAAAUAUGAUAAAUUUAUAAUGUCGUAGGAAAAAGAUGGAAGGCAUCAAAUGAUAAAUGGUAAAUGAUAAAUGGGGGAGAAAUGGACCAAACAUGAUAGAUAUAUCAAAGAAAAAGUUGCUUUUGCUAAAAUCCUCUUUCGUCAAAAAAAAAUCCUCAAUGAAUAUAUGAAAUGAAUUAGUUAUUAAAUAAUUAACAAGAAAUUCCAUGUGUCUUAACAUUUAGACCAAAAAAAAAAAGAAACAAAAAAUUCCAUGUGACUUCCUUUAGCAUUGGUGGAGGUUAAUAUAUCUCUUCAGUCUCAUUCUCUCUUUCACGUCGAAAAAAUAUUAUAGAAGGCACUGCAUAGUCUCUUAUAGGGGUGGGCAUUUUACCCGAAAUCCGAAGUGGCACCCGAACCCGAUCCGAAAAACCCGAACCGAAAUCCGAACCGAAGUAGCAAAAUAUCCGUACGGGUAUUGAAUUAGGAGAGAUUGGAUAUCCGAACCCGAACGGGUAAUAUCCGAACCCGAAUGGAUAUCCGAAAAUAACCGAACAUAUGAUAAUUAACCUUAUAUUUAUAGUUUACAUCUUUCAUUUUAUAUAAAAUAUUUAUAUUGAUA
This 730-nucleotide long non-coding RNA is filed under the name Brassica rapa (field mustard). RNAcentral's name for it is "long non-coding RNA (BRAP_LNC001129)". Lineage: Eukaryota; Viridiplantae; Streptophyta; Magnoliopsida; Brassicales; Brassicaceae. The record is from RNAcentral.